RNAcentral lists this transfer RNA (73 nucleotides) under Phycisphaerae bacterium. RNAcentral describes it as "tRNA-Thr". It matches the Rfam family "tRNA". Rfam says of the family: Transfer RNA (tRNA) molecules are approximately 80 nucleotides in length. Their secondary structure includes four short double-helical elements and three loops (D, anti-codon, and T loops). The record is from RNAcentral. RNAcentral also lists the same sequence under 1 other name. Lineage: Bacteria; Pseudomonadati; Planctomycetota; Phycisphaerae.
GCCACCGUAGCUCAGUCGGCAGAGCAGCGGUUUUGUAAACCGCAGGUCCUCGGUUCGAGUCCGAGCGGUGGCU